GGAGGAUGCAGAUGAAGGGACGAGGAGGAUGAAAAUGAAUGGACAAGGAGGAUCAAGAACGGACAAGGAGGAUCAAGAAGGAUAUAGAGAAAUGAGGAGGAUGCUAAUGCAGAAACGAGGAGGAUGCAGAUGAAGAGACGAAGAUGCCGAUGAAG
Long non-coding RNA from Xenia sp. Carnegie-2017, 155 nucleotides. RefSeq lists it as uncharacterized. The transcript is spliced from 2 exons. The record is from RefSeq and is a predicted model, not a curated record. Lineage: Eukaryota; Metazoa; Cnidaria; Anthozoa; Malacalcyonacea; Xeniidae.